GACGAACGCUGGCGGCGUGCUUAACACAUGCAAGUCGAACGGAAAGGCCCUGCUUUUGUGGGGUGCUCGAGUGGCGAACGGGUGAGUAACACGUGAGUAACCUGCCCUUGACUUUGGGAUAACUUCAGGAAACUGGGGCUAAUACCGGAUAGGAGCUCCUGCUGCAUGGUGGGGGUUGGAAAGUUUCGGCGGUUGGGGAUGGACUCGCGGCUUAUCAGCUUGUUGGUGGGGUAGUGGCUUACCAAGGCUUUGACGGGUAGCCGGCCUGAGAGGGUGACCGGCCACAUUGGGACUGAGAUACGGCCCAGACUCCUACGGGAGGCAGCAGUGGGGAAAAUUGCACAAUGGGCGGAAGCCUGACGCAGCAACGCCGCGUGCGGGAUGACGGCCUUCGGGUUGUAAACCGCUUUCGCCUGUGACGAAGCGUGAGUGACGGUAAUGGGUAAAGAAGCACCGGCUAACUACGUG
This 468-nucleotide ribosomal RNA is filed under the name uncultured bacterium. RNAcentral's name for it is "partial 16S ribosomal RNA". It matches the Rfam family "Bacterial small subunit ribosomal RNA", at positions 28 to 507 of the family's 1533-position model. The record is from RNAcentral.